AGAGUUUGAUCCUGGCUCAGGACGAACGCUGGCGGUGUGCUUCACACAUGCAAGUCGAGCGAAUGAAGUAGGUAGCUUGCUACUUAUGGAUUUAGCGGCGGACGGGUGAGUAAUAUAUAGGAAUCUGCCUUAGAGCGGGGAACAACAGACCGAAAGGUUUGCUAAUGCCCCAUAGGUAUGCAGUCUUCGGAUUGUAUAUUAAAGGAGUAAUCCACUCUAAGAUGAGCCUGUAUCCGAUUAGCUAGUUGGCGGGGUAAAGGCCCACCAAGGCUACGAUCGGUAGUUGGUCUGAGAGGAUGAUCAGCCACAAUGGGACUGAGACACGGCCCAUACUCCUACGGGAGGCAGCAGUGGGGAAUUUUACACAAUGGGGGAAACCCUGAUGUAGCGACACCGCGUGAACGAAGAAGCCUUUUGGGGUGUAAAGUUCUGUCGGCUGGAACGAAAAAAAUGACGGUACCAGCAAAGGAAGCAUCGGCUAACUACGUGCCAGCAGCCGCGGUAAGACGUAGGAUGCAAGCGUUGUCCGGAUUUAUCGGGCGUAAAGAGUUCGUAGGCGGUUAUUUAAGUCUGAUGUUAAAUACUGUGGCCCAACCACAGAACUGCAUUGGAUACUGGAUGACUUGAGUGCGGUAGAGGCAAGUGGAAUUCCCAGUGUAGCGGUGAAAUGCGUAGA
Molecule: ribosomal RNA, 676 nt
Filed under: uncultured bacterium
Lineage: Bacteria
Description: bacterial SSU rRNA
Rfam family: Bacterial small subunit ribosomal RNA
Source: RNAcentral